RNAcentral lists this ribosomal RNA (460 nucleotides) under uncultured bacterium. RNAcentral's name for it is "partial 16S ribosomal RNA". It matches the Rfam family "Bacterial small subunit ribosomal RNA", at positions 338 to 795 of the family's 1533-position model. The record is from RNAcentral.
CCUACGGGGGGCAGCAGUGAGGAAUAUUGGUCAAUGGGCGUAAGCCUGAACCAGCCAAGUCGCGUGAGGGAUGAAGGUUCUAUGGAUCGUAAACCUCUUUUAUAAGGGAAUAAAGUGCGGGACGUGUCCCGUUUUGUAUGUACCUUAUGAAUAAGGAUCGGCUAACUCCGUGCCAGCAGCCGCGGUAAUACGGAGGAUCCGAGGGUUAUCCGGAUUUAUUGGGUUUAAUGGGUGCGUAGGCGGCCUUGUAAGUCAGCGGGGCAAGUCUGUGGCUCAACCAUAGAAUUGCCGUUGAAACUGGGGGGCUUGAGUAUGUGAGAGGCAGGCGGAAUGCGUGGUGUAGCGGUGAAAUGCUUAGAUAUCACGCAGAACCCCGAUUGCGAAGGCAGUUUGCCAAGCUAUGACUGACGCUGAUGCACGAAAGCGUGGGGAUCAAACAGGAUUAGAUACCCGAGUAGUC